RNAcentral lists this small RNA (882 nucleotides) under Pan troglodytes (chimpanzee). Its description in RNAcentral is "processed transcript". Lineage: Eukaryota; Metazoa; Chordata; Mammalia; Primates; Hominidae. The record is from RNAcentral.
AGACGCGGCCGAGGUAGGACUGGGUCGGCGGCUUCCUUCCGGCUCUGCGCUCCUGGCUGGGGCUGCUGGGCGGCUGGUGCCGGGUCCCCGCACCCGGCUCUCAAGUCCGGGAUUACCCGCAGGGCCUGUGAAGCGCUUUGCCCCCUACAGCCUCUCGAGCCAGCCCUUGGCUCGGAAUUGGAGAAUGGUCCUCAUUCUUACCCAGAUCUCACACGCCGUCCCCGCUCCCGAUCCCAGGGGGUGACAGGCGCGCACGCCUUUCAAACGCGUGUUAAAAUCCAAGACGUCGUCUCAAAUGCCAGAGAUUUGCGGGAAUGCUCCUGGAAGGCCUCAAAAUCGCCGCAAGAACAGUCCACUUUGGAAAGUGAAGAAUGGAAUCCUUGGGAAGGAGAUGAAAAAAAUGAGCAACAACACAGAUUUAAAACUAGCCUUCAAAUAUUAAAUAAAUCCACGAAGGGAAAAACAGAUCUCAGUGUACAAAUCUGGGGCAAAGCUGCCAUUGUCCAAGCUGGCAGUGUUUCUGCUCAUAAAACAUUCUGAAGAACCUUGUGGGCCCUCUGUGUAUGUCACAGGAUUCACUCCAUUAGAUGGGAAGCUCCUCUGCAGAUCUUUUCUGAGUAAUCCCAUCUCCAUUUCUGGCUUCUGCUGAGAUGGCUGAGGAGACCUGUUUGUAUCUCUGGGAGCAUAUUUUUGAAGGCUUACUUGAUCCCAGCGAUGUGACUGCUCAAUGGAGAGAAGGAAAGUCAGUCGUAGGAAGAACACAGUACAGCUUCAUCACUGGUCCAGCUGUAAUACCAGGGUACUUCUCCGUUGAUGUGAAUAAUGUGGUACUCAUUUUAAAUGGAAGAGAAAAAGCAAAGAUCUUUUAUGCCACCCAGUGGU